CUAAAUUGGCGACCAACAGGACCUCUCGACCUGGCACCAUGGGGGCUUCUGGAAGUGGAGUGCAGAGGCAGUGGCCCAGGGGCAGAGGAGCUUUGUCCCCUUCAUAGGCAGCAGCCCCGCACGCCCACCCACCUGCUGCUCCUGGGCCACCCAUGUGAAUGUGCAUGUGUGCGAGCCCUUCGCAAUCCUACUGAGGACUCCCCAUGACCCUGAUCUGUGUUCUGCCUGGAGGUUGGGAACCAAUGGCUUAAACAGGUGCUCAGGAACUGUACACACACACGCAGACUAAAGCAGACCAAGAAACGAGGACAGACAGACUGCCUCUUUUACUCAUUCUUCUAUCAACAAGGAGGAACCCAUGUCAAGCAGCUGAAAAGCCCACCUGUUUUGGUGGCAAAAAAUGGGGUGACAUCUCCCCGCAACAGCAGAAAAUUCGACUCCUGGUCCAGAACUACAGUUACCAGAAUACGUUUCACUCACAUACGUUUUUGUGCCACCACUGCUCUCCAAUCAGACCUGGAGCCAGAAAGUUGCAGGAAGAGGAGGUGGGAAAAAAAUGGGCAUGGAAUACACCCACCAUUAUUAGGUAGCGUCCUGCUUGCCCGCCCAUCCUUACACUUUAAAACCAUUGCAUAGAUAAGUCCUAAACUUCCUAAAAUACAUAAGCACUGCUUUGGAAAGGAUGUGUGCUGAUGCAGAUGAUAGUGCUGGCUCCCUCCCCAUCAGAAAUUAACAAGGGAGUUAACUUCCAGAACUUUACCUGUCCAAAGGAGGCCACAGCCAUCUUCAAAGAUGACUUGUGUCUCUGAACCAGUCCUUCCACUUCUUUCAAGACUCUAGCAAUGAGGCAGCUAUGAAAGCAAACUGAAGGGAUGAUGCAUCUGGCUCAGGAAGUUACAGUUGGGUCUCAAUGCAGUGAAAUUCCCUUUAGGUAGAGACUGGAGGACCAUCAGCAUUUGGCUCAUCAUGUGCAUCUCAGUUCACUCCAUCCUACAUUACCCAUGUAUGCAGGUCUACAAUUUGCAGAACUCAGAGCUACAUUCUUUCCCUCCCCCCACCCCUCCCCCCACUUUAAAAGUGCUGUGUCUUAAAACCAAACCAAACCAGACAACUCACACUCAGAUCCAGCAGUUACAAUGAAAAACAAUCUUAGGAAGUUUCCUAACAAUCCAGUUAAAUUAUGUCCCAUUUCUGAUGCUCUUGGACUGGGAUGCACCAGGUUUGGUAACUACUGAAAGAUUAAAGUCUCUCUCUACUUGAUAAAAAGUAAUUUGUUUGGAACUAUAUUAAAUCUUCAAUUUUAAAGGAAGGGAUUUAAGAAUGCAAGAGUGCUUUUCUUAUAUUUUCUCUUCUACUGCUGUGUGAGGAGGAGUAAGGGAACUGAGGAUUACAAAUUGGAUGCACUUACUCAUGACAUCACUCAUCGGUAUACUAGAUUACACUUAUACCAGUAUGUCCUCAUUUAAGUCAUAUGCACUUGCUUUUUGCAGGCUUUCCUAAUCAGCCUAUUUGUCACUGCUCUUUGUUAUAAUUUUCAAUUAUUUUAAACAGAUAGGUAAGAAAAAAAAGAUGAAACUUUUAAAAGAAACUACUGCAGACAUCAGCUCCAAACCAAGAAGAGUCAGCUUUUAUAUUAUAGUUUCUAAGCCUGCACAAAAUGCAUGUUACAAGAGUGUAUGAUCCUUUACCACAUGCAAAACAGUGUUCUAGAAAGAUAUUUAAACAGAAAACAAAGCAAAAAACAGAUUUUCCU
Alligator mississippiensis (American alligator) is the source of this 1753-nucleotide long non-coding RNA. RefSeq lists it as uncharacterized. NCBI's taxonomy places the organism in Eukaryota, Metazoa, Chordata, Crocodylia, Alligatoridae. The transcript is spliced from 3 exons. The record is from RefSeq and is a predicted model, not a curated record.